AUAUUGCACAAUGGAGGGAACUCUGAUGCAGCAACGCCGCGUGAGUGAAGAAGGUUUNNNGAUCGNACAACUCUGUCAUUGGGNAAGNAUAAAUGACGGUACCCAAUGAGGAAGCCCCGGCUAACUACGUGCCAGCAGCCGCGGUAAUACGUAGGGGGCGAGCGUUGUCCGGAAUUAUUGGGCGUAAAGGGUUCGCAGGCGGCCUUUUAAGUCAGAUGUGAAAGAUCACGGCUCAACCGUGGUAAGCAUUUGAAACUGGAGGGCUUGAGUGUCGGAGAGGGCAGUGGAAUUCCCAGUGUAGCGGUGGAAUGCGUAGAUAUUGGGAGGAACACCAGUGGCGAAGGCGACUGCCUGGACGAUAACUGACGCUGAGGCACGAAAGCUAGGGGAGCAAACA
RNAcentral lists this ribosomal RNA (397 nucleotides) under uncultured bacterium. RNAcentral describes it as "partial 16S ribosomal RNA". It matches the Rfam family "Bacterial small subunit ribosomal RNA", at positions 361 to 774 of the family's 1533-position model. The record is from RNAcentral.